UACGGAGGAUGCAAGCGUUAUCCGGAAUGAUUGGGCGUAAAGCGUCCGCAGGUGGCUGUGUAAGUCUGCUGUCAAAGAGCGAAGCUCAACUUCGUAAAGGCAGUGGAAACUACACGGCUAGAGUGCGUUCGGGGCAGAGGGAAUUCCUGGUGUAGCGGUGGAAUGCGUAGAUAUCUGGAGGAACACCGGUGGCGAAGGCGGCAUCCUGGACCAACACUGACACUGAGGAGCGAAAGCCAGGGGAGCAAACGGG
Molecule: ribosomal RNA, 253 nt
Filed under: uncultured bacterium
Lineage: Bacteria
Description: partial 16S ribosomal RNA
Rfam family: Bacterial small subunit ribosomal RNA
Source: RNAcentral